CGCUCCCCGGAGCGCGGGGCUGCGCAGGCGCCUCGGGCCUGGGCUCCCCGACCUCACCUGGGACGCGAAAGGGUUAAAGCAGCGCCUGAAGCCGAGAGCCUGAGGCCGCAGGCGCAUUCUGGCGUUCAGUCUUUUAAGAAACAAAUGCCACAAUUCUAAGAUGCAGCUCAGAAACCCAGAACGUCUGUCUUCAGGAGAACGCUGGAGGAGAAAAUACCACUGCUGUCUGCCCACGCACUAGGAAUGCCACAAAACCCCAACCUGGAAUCUCUCCUGGGAGGAUGGGGCCCAACCUAAGGGACUGAAUCCUGAAUUAAGUUAACUUCUAGAAAGUUCCAUCACAGGCUUAAAGGGAUAUUAAAAAGUUUUGAGCACUUUAUAAUGAAAUAAGUGAGGAAAGAAUAUGCCAGACAUAAUUUAAUAAAAUUCAUUUUUACUUAUUGAUUAAUAAGAUAUAAUGAUAAUACUAUUGAUAUUAAUAUCUUACUAAUACUCUCUAAUUGAUUAAUACACCAAAUCUGAAAGAAACUGCAUUUAAAAACGCAUUCGUGGGUGUUCUUCAAUGUAGCUUAAGAAGUUAGAAGUAUUGGCAGAGGGGGGAGGGUAUGGCUCAGUGGUAGAGUACCUGCUUAGCAUGUAUGAGGUCCUGGGUUCAAUCCCCAGCACCUCCAUUAAAAAUAUAUAUAAGUAAGCAAAUCUAAUUACUCACCCCCGUACCAAACAAACAAACAAACAAAAACAGGUAUUGGAAGACACUCCAGUUUCAGUUAAAUGAAUGAAUGUCAGUAAAUUUCACUGCUUUGGUUGUUCUAUGACCAGAACAUUUCAACCUAAGACAAACUGCCCCCUUAGGAGAACUGUUUAAGCCAGAGAAAGACGGGAGAAAGGCGUCGACUGAUUUAAGGAAGCUUUGGUGCCCUCCGCCAGUGCAUGAGUUAUAAAUAAUGCUUCUGUUACGGUUAAUUGGGAGAAGGGCACACGGAUACUUCCUCUGGCAAUUACAAGGGCCGAGUGUGUACGAGGCCGAGGAUCUGUAAAAUUUUUUCGCAUUAAAAGAAUGUGUGUACCCAUAA
This is a non-coding RNA of Vicugna pacos (alpaca), 1073 nucleotides long. Lineage: Eukaryota; Metazoa; Chordata; Mammalia; Artiodactyla; Camelidae. The record is from RefSeq and is a predicted model, not a curated record.